AAGAGUUGUUGCUGGCCCCCCCCAUACGGGGGCAUGUGCACACUCUGUUCACACAUCCACUCACACCUGUGCACCCUCCGUAGUUCUGUGGCCUGGGUGGGGCUCUGUCCUCCUGCCGUGGUUCUAUGUCUUUACACACACACACUAUAAAAAUGUCUCAUGGAAUGUAUGUCGCGUUUAACGCAAUGAAAUACAACUUUCAGCAACGGAUCUCUUGGCUCUCGCAUCGAUGAAGAACGCAGCGAAAUGCGAUAAGUAAUGUGAAUUGCAGAAUUCAGUGAAUCAUCGAAUCUUUGAACGCACCUUGCGCCCUUUGGCUAUUCCGAAGGGCAUGCCUGUUUGAGUAUCAUGAACACCUCAACUCUCGUGGCUUGCCAUGAUGAGCUUGGACUUUGGGGGUCUUGUUGGCCUGUGUGCCAGCUCCUCUUAAAUGAAUUAGCUUGCCGGUGUUUGGUGGCGCCAUGGGUGUGAUAAAUAUCUACGCUUGUGGUUUCCCACCAGCUAACCUUCAGUGAUGGAGGUUCACUGGAGCUUAUAAACGUCUCUCCUUGGAGAGGACGCAUUUUGACCAUUUGAUCUCAAAUCAGGCAGGACUACCCGCUGAACUUAAGCAUAUCAAUAAGCGGAGGAAAAGAAACUAACAAGGAUUCCCCUAGUAACUGCGAGUGAAGCGGGAAGAGCUCAAAUUUAAAAUCUGGUGUGCCUCUGG
Molecule: unclassified non-coding RNA, 709 nt
Filed under: uncultured fungus
Lineage: Eukaryota; Fungi
Description: partial contains ITS1, 5.8S rRNA and ITS2
Rfam family: 5.8S ribosomal RNA (bases 195-349)
Source: RNAcentral